This 239-nucleotide long non-coding RNA is filed under the name Physcomitrium patens. RNAcentral describes it as "long non-coding RNA (PPAT_LNC001656)". Lineage: Eukaryota; Viridiplantae; Streptophyta; Bryopsida; Funariales; Funariaceae. The record is from RNAcentral.
AAUUAAUUAAUUAUUUUAAUUAUUCAAUAAUCAACUCAUAAAGAUUUUUAUAUGCAUCACAUUAUUUAGCAAACAAAUAAUGAUACUAAAACAUUGGUCAUAACACUACAAUCGCUUAUUCUCACAUCAAAAAAUAUGUAUAAGAACUCUUCCAAACUUGGUAUUUAACAAUCUUUAAAAAUCAACUAUCACCUCAUAACAACAUGGUGAAUUACAACCGAUCUACCAUGGUCAUCAAC